This 45-nucleotide non-coding RNA is filed under the name Trichobilharzia regenti. Lineage: Eukaryota; Metazoa; Platyhelminthes; Trematoda; Strigeidida; Schistosomatidae. The record is from RNAcentral.
AUCCAGAUGACGAGUUCCAAAUAGGACGGGAGGUGAAUCCUGGAU